RNAcentral lists this small RNA (127 nucleotides) under Marmota monax (woodchuck). Lineage: Eukaryota; Metazoa; Chordata; Mammalia; Rodentia; Sciuridae. The record is from RNAcentral.
GCUGGGCACGGUGGUGCACGCCUGUAAUCCCAGCAGCUCUGGAGGCUGAGACAGGAGGAAGGUGAGUUCAAAGCCAGCCUCAGCAACUUAGUGAGGCCCUAAACAACUCAGCAAGACCCUGUCUCUA